GGCUCUGUAGUGAAAUUCAUGAUGAGUUGCAAGCUCAUUGAUGUACAUUAAGAGUGUACCAGAGUCU
This 67-nucleotide transfer RNA is filed under the name Coragyps atratus (black vulture). RNAcentral's name for it is "tRNA-Cys". The record is from RNAcentral. Lineage: Eukaryota; Metazoa; Chordata; Aves; Accipitriformes; Cathartidae.